UACGUAGGUGGCAAGCGUUAUCCGGAUUUAUUGGGCGUAAAGGGAACGCAGGCGGUCUUUUAAGUCUGAUGUGAAAGCCUUCGGCUUAACCGGAGUAGUGCAUUGGAAACUGGGAGACUUGAGUGCAGAAGAGGAGAGUGGAACUCCAUGUGUAGCGGUGAAAUGCGUAGAUAUAUGGAGGAACACCGGUGGCGAAAGCAGCUCUCUGGCCUGUAACUGACACUGAGGCUCGAAAGCGUGGGGAGCAAACAGG
This 253-nucleotide ribosomal RNA is filed under the name uncultured bacterium. RNAcentral's name for it is "partial 16S ribosomal RNA". It matches the Rfam family "Bacterial small subunit ribosomal RNA", at positions 524 to 776 of the family's 1533-position model. The record is from RNAcentral.